AGUUUUGGUACAUGUAAGAAGGGAUAUCA
This 29-nucleotide non-coding RNA is filed under the name Cricetulus griseus (Chinese hamster). Lineage: Eukaryota; Metazoa; Chordata; Mammalia; Rodentia; Cricetidae. The record is from RNAcentral.